Molecule: Y RNA, 102 nt
Filed under: Propithecus coquereli (Coquerel's sifaka)
Lineage: Eukaryota; Metazoa; Chordata; Mammalia; Primates; Indriidae
Description: Y RNA (ENSPCOG00000007644.1)
Rfam family: Y RNA
About the family: Y RNAs are components of the Ro ribonucleoprotein particle (Ro RNP), in association with Ro60 and La proteins.
Source: Rfam by way of RNAcentral
GACUUGUCCAAGUGCAGUGAUGUUUACAACUAAUUGAUCACCCUCAGUUACAGGUUUCUUUGUUCUUUCUCUCCUCCCACUGUUUCACUUGACUAGCCUUAA